GUCUCGGUCGUGGAUCCCCGCCCUCCUCCCCACCGCCGCCGCGACCGCGCACGCUCCUCGCAUCCCGCCCGCCGCGCUUCUUUCCAUCCUCUUCCUUCCAUACCCACUCACCGCCCCUCGGCUCUCCGUCGAUGGAAGGGCGCCAUUGACGCCCCGCGAUCCUCGCUACCAUCCCCACGAGGCCAUACCCUCCCCGCACACACAGAUCUUGGAAGAGGCCGCCACCCCGCCCCCGUUCUUGGCCCCAUCACCCUCCCCACGCGAUGCUCGCCUACCCCACACAAUGCACCCCUUCCUUGCCUUGGUGGCAAGCUUGUCGACGUCGAGGCAGAUGCGGGAGAUGGACUUGGCGGCCCGCUCCACCUUGUCGGCGCGCCGCUGCUCGAGGAGGCGCUUGGCCUGCGCGGCGGGCUCCUCGAGCAGCACCAUCUUGGAGCGGUCCUCCCCCUCCGCCCCGCUCUCGCUCGCGCUUUCGUCGCCGCCGUGGUCCGCUGUCGCACACGCCCUCCUGCCCCUCUGCUCCCCUCCCAGAUCCCGUGAUCCGCUGCCGUGAUCCGAUGCCGCACCCGCCAUCAACGCCCUCCUCCCCCUCUGCUCCCCUCCCAGAUCUCGUGAUCCGCUGCGAGGCCGCCAUCAACGCCCUCCUCCCCCUCCGCUCAGCUCCCCUCCCAGGAUCUCGGCGCGCUUUCAUCGCCGCCUUGAUGGUCCACGGCUGCACCCACAUACGACAUCGCCUGUCCGCACGCAAGCUUCUGCCUGCGCCCACCUGUGUGCAUAGAUGUGUGCCCCCGCCCACCUCUUCUGCGCCCAAUCUUUACCCGUCGUCCGCGCCGCUGUUCCAUCCUCGCACCCACGCCCGAGAUCCACAUGUGCCGCACCCCAGCCGUGCUCCGGAUGCUGCACCGCCCUUCCAUCCUCCGCAUGCAGCACCAUGUUGGCCGCCGCCCUGAAACCUCGCUACCACGGAGCUGCAAGCCCCCGCUUCCAAACCAGCACCAUGCAGACUUCCAAUUUGUUUUUUGUUUGGAGCACUGUUGAUUUUUUCUCGUUUUUUUGAGAACAUUACAUUGCCCGUCUUUCACUGUUCAACUUUUCUUAAUUAACCAUUUACAUUUACCAAAAACUUAUUCAACUUUUCACUGUUCAAGUUCAAUUUGUUUUGUGCAGUAUUGAUCUGUUGUGCAGUGUAUACUUUGAGGUUCGGUUGGCCGAUCUUGCGAUCGAAUACCAAAAACUUGUGCGGUACUCUGUUGCUGAAUAAAACUUGGAUCAGGUUACCCCAACCCCAAUGGCAUUUACCGAGCCGAUGGAGGCGAACCUGCUACGCCAAGUGCUGGACUAUCCCCCCAGUGCUCUGUCCAUGUCCAUCCCUCCUUCAGCUUCAUUGAUGGUUGCACUGCUCUACUAUACUAUAAGUGAAUUGAGUUAAAGCAUUUUUUGUUCGACUACUGUUUGGUGCAUGCAACUUAAUAUGGCUGAUUUUUAGUCUUUCUAUUUUAGUUUAUAAAUUGUCAAUCACAGGGAUUAAAAGAGACUAAAAGUAAGGUUUCAGGUUCUAUUUCUAUCCAUCUUUAAUUAAGGGCUGAAACGAUACUGUCUUGAUUCCUAAUUCACCUAAUAUUCCUAGACCAAGAACGACUCGGGUUAAUGGUCAGGGAUGCCAAAUUGUUUCAGUAAAACUAAGCAAGCUCGUAUGAUGAUUAUGUACCUACUUGAGAACAAAUUGUCUAAAACAUAUCUGCUACUACACUUCAGUAAAACAAUUGAUCACACACAAGAAGUUCAGAUCAGAAAGCAGGCUGUCGCUACUCCCGUCAGGUUCUCGGAUGGUUCCCGUCAAGGGCUGACCAUGGAGAAGAGCACAGUGGUGGUCAGUGUCCCUGUUGUUGUCAUGGCCGAGACUGCUGAGACCGACUACAGCUCGAGCUUCUCGAUGCAGAGUCCCAGAAAGAUGUUGGGAAGGGUGAUAAAUCAAGGGAUAAGGGAACUGCUGAGAAGUUUGCAAUAUAUCAGAAGCAUCGUUCUUCGUUGGCAGACACUGUUCAAUUCAGGAGGCCAGCUGCUCCAACUUCCAGUGUGAAUGCUGAUAUUGUGGGAACAUCCACUCUGCAGUCUGCAUCUCUACCGAAACAAGAACCCUCAACAGCUACAUCCAAGAGCUAUACUUUCAGAGAAGGUGAUAGGGUGCGUUAUAUGGGUCCAGCUCAGUUAUCCUCAUUGUCACAAAGGCUCCUCUCCUUUUGCUGGCUUCGCUGUUGGAAGCGAGACAUCAUGUGGUGUGGAUAACGUCCUUGCAGAGCACGUGAACUCAAAUUUCACUCUAAUGCCAGCUAGCUGCUACAUAGUGCACUUCUGUAUAUUAUGAGUAUGUAUACAGAAUUUUAAAGUAUGAAUACAUGUGUUUUAAAGCUUGGACAACCAA
Molecule: RNA transcript, 2422 nt
Organism: Zea mays
Lineage: Eukaryota; Viridiplantae; Streptophyta; Magnoliopsida; Poales; Poaceae
Exons: 4
Source: RefSeq, marked validated